RNAcentral lists this ribosomal RNA (253 nucleotides) under uncultured bacterium. Its description in RNAcentral is "partial 16S ribosomal RNA". It matches the Rfam family "Bacterial small subunit ribosomal RNA", at positions 524 to 776 of the family's 1533-position model. The record is from RNAcentral.
UACAGAGGGGGCAAGCGUUGUUCGGAAUUACUGGGCGUAAAGGGCGCGUAGGCGGCCCGCUAAGUCGAACGUGAAAUCCCCAGGCUUAACCUGGGAACUGCGUCCGAUACUGGCAGGCUUGAAUCCGGGAGAGGGAUGUGGAAUUCCAGGUGUAGCGGUGAAAUGCGUAGAUAUCAGGAAGAACACCAAUGGCGAAGGCAGCUCUCUGGGACGGUACUGACGCUGAAACGCGAAAGCGUGGGGAGCGAACAGG